RNAcentral lists this non-coding RNA (109 nucleotides) under uncultured Sedimentibacter sp. RNAcentral's name for it is "FMN riboswitch (RFN element)". It matches the Rfam family "FMN riboswitch aptamer (RFN element)". Rfam says of the family: The RFN element is a highly conserved domain that is found frequently in the 5'-untranslated regions of prokaryotic mRNAs that encode for flavin mononucleotide (FMN) biosynthesis and transport proteins. This element is a metabolite-dependent riboswitch that directly binds FMN in the absence of proteins. The record is from RNAcentral. Lineage: Bacteria; Bacillati; Bacillota; Tissierellia.
UUCUUCAGGGCAGGGUGAAAUUCCCGACCGGUGGUAAAGUCCACGAGCCGCAAUGCGGUUGACUUGGUGAAACUCCAAGACCGACAGUAAAGUCUGGAUGGAAGAAGAG